AUGGAUUAGUGGCGCACGGGUGAGUAACGCAUAGAUGACAUGCCCUUUAGUUUGGGAUAGCCACUAGAAAUGGUGAUUAAUACCAAAUACCACCCUACGGGGGAAAGAUUUAUCGCUAAAGGAUUGGUCUAUGUCCUAUCAGCUUGUUGGCGGGGUAAGAGCCCACCAAGGCAAUGACGGGUAUCCGGCCUGAGAGGGUGAACGGACACACUGGAACUGAGACACGGUCCAGACUCCUACGGGAGGCAGCAGUAGGGAAUAUUGCUCAAUGGGCGCAAGCCUGAAGCAGCAACGCCGCGUGGAGGAUGAAGGUUUUAGGAUUGUAAACUCCUUUUGUCAGAGAAGAUA
RNAcentral lists this ribosomal RNA (348 nucleotides) under uncultured Helicobacter sp. RNAcentral describes it as "bacterial SSU rRNA". It matches the Rfam family "Bacterial small subunit ribosomal RNA", at positions 87 to 450 of the family's 1533-position model. The record is from RNAcentral. Lineage: Bacteria; Pseudomonadati; Campylobacterota; Epsilonproteobacteria; Campylobacterales; Helicobacteraceae.